This is a long non-coding RNA of Pteropus alecto (black flying fox), 2976 nucleotides long. RefSeq lists it as uncharacterized. The transcript has 6 exons. Lineage: Eukaryota; Metazoa; Chordata; Mammalia; Chiroptera; Pteropodidae. The record is from RefSeq and is a predicted model, not a curated record.
UUUUAAAAUCAAGGUAUCAUUUAGCAUACUAGAACACACACAAAAAAAGUGAUUUAUGGAAAGAUAGGAUUCCUAAGAGAGAGAACAAUAACCUAAAAUACUCAAAUAAACACAUAAGUAAAAGGCUGCAAUGGUUAAGCUGGGAAUAUCUGUUUAAAAUAAAUUCAUUAAAAUGUAGCUUCUAGCAUAAGCAGUAUCAAGUGGUUUCAUGGAUGACUAGGAAUUGGGAAUUCUGGCUCUACUUAAUUCUGCCUGCACUUGAGGUUACAACUCAGUCUAAGCACAUCCCUCAUGUGCUCUGCCUCUCCAUUUUGGACACAUGUAAAGGAAUGUGAACCUUCUCGGGAUCCUUUUCAGACCUCUCCACAUUUCUGAAGGCUUCCUCGGUCCUUCCCCUUACUAUAAAAGUUCUUCUAGAAGCCAUAUUCCUGUCCUGCUAGGAAACAAUCUUUAAAAAAAGAAAAAGAAAAGCUGAACCAAAAAUAGAAAAGGGACGCCAAAUGGAAAAAAAAUAACUAAAGAACCACAGUGACCUCUAGUGGCAUAAAUCAGGAUCGUUCUGCAUGCACACUAAGUUAACUACGGAGCAUUUGUGGAAGUGGACCCUGGGACCAUCCACAAACCCCCACCAGCUGUUGUGGGUGCCAGAAGACUGGGAAAAAUGUGUCUUCCUCACUGUAUUUCCCAACCCUGUGCUCUUCAUGAUGCUUCGUGGCCUUAUGAGAAGAUGAGAACACAGAUGGCUCAACCUAUCUCCUAGGGAGAUUCUCCAGGGAGAGACAGAACUUCUUGAGAGGCCACAGAGGUUGCCCCCAGGGAAGCAGUGAUGAUCUGGAGGCGACAACCCCAUGUUCAGUGUCUUCCCAGAAAGAUUCCUUGCAAAAGAGCUCAGAACUGAUUGGUGGGAUCUCUAGUUGCCCAGACAAAGGUCUGAUCAAGGUGAACCAGGGUCAAGCCAUUACAUUAAUGCUAACUGCGUUCCCUAUGCCGUGCUCCCCAUCAAGUGGAUGCGGGAUGGAAAAGAAGAGUCAAGACUUCAAGGUUUUGAACCUGAAUAGCUGGAAGUGUGAACUAAAAUGCAGAAUACUAAAAGAAAAGCUAGUUUGGAAAGGAUGAUCAGAAGUUCAGUUCUGAACAUGUUAUAUUUGAGUUGCUUCUCAGACAUCCAAAUGAAGAUGCUGGGUAUAAGAACUUGGAUAUGCAGAUCUAGAAUUGGGAGAAGAGAUCCUGGACAGAGAUAUAAAUGUCAGUCACAUAUAUAGAGCUUCUCCACCUACUGAUCCAAUUUUCACGGCAUCUCUUCCUGUUCUGAACUUGAUUAUUUCUUCAAGCUCUUUAAAUUAAAAGGGCCCUACUCCUAAGGACUUUAAUAACUUAAUAUUUUUUUCUUCUGUGUAAGUGUCUUAAUUCAGGGCUCAGAUGAGUAACUGGAAAGGAAAAUUAUUAUCGUUCUACUAUUUCUAGAACUAGAGCUUUUAAGUCUUACGUUAGUCACUAAAGAAGCUUGAAGGAUACUUCUUUAAAAAGAAAAUAAAGCGAGAAAUUCCCUGGUAGAAUUAUUAUAGAAUUUAAUUUGUGACUCUCCUCACGGCAAUUUUGUGAGAUAUCAUCAAUAUUUCACUGUUACGGCACUGGAAACAUUCAAUAUGUUGUUUAUUUGCAUUGUUAUUAAAAGUUGCCUGUAGAGUCAGAUUCCUCAAUAUAAAAUCUUAAGUUUCUUUUGGCUAGUUUCUAAAAUUUAAGGAUGCAUUAUUGCCACAUUGUCAUUUUAAGAUAUAAGAAGACAUUCUCUGGCCACCUAGGUCAAAUGUUUGCCUCCCUUUAGUUAUUUGAUAAUCCAGAAAUCGUUUAGUCUCUAUCUCUUCCAAAAACUCCUUUAAUCCACCUGUGAUUAAAUUGUAAGGACGAGAAUCUCUCCACACCAGACUAAGAUAGUAUUAAGGAGUCGAUAAACAUAUACCAGAACUGUUUUCUAUUGAUUUUUGCAAAAUCUUAGAUUGUCUUAUAUUGAGUAGGCAAAGCACACCACGCAGCUCAAGGAGUGGCUAUAUUGUACAAAGGCAAGAAUCUUCUCCUGGAUUUGGAGGCAGGAGAUGUCUGUUCUGACCACAAUGAUGCCUUAUGCUUGGUUUGUGACAAAGACAAUAGCAAGUCACUCUGCUUCUCAGUUCCUAAACCCUAAAUACAGUCGCAUGCUGCAUAAAAUGUUUUGGUCAACAAUGGACUGCAUAUACAACAGUGGUCCUACAAGAUUAUAAAUUUUCCUGUCACCUAGUGAUGUCAUAGUCAUUGUAAUGUAGUGCAACACAUUACUCAUGUGUCUGUGGUGAUGCUGGUGUAAGCAAACCUAUUGUGCUGCCAGUCGUAUAAAGGUACAGCACAUAUAAUGAAGUACAUAAUACUUGAUAAUGAUAAUAAAGGACCAUGUUAUUGGUUUAUGUAUUUACUAUACCAUACUUUUUAUCAUUGUUUUAGAGUGUACUCUUUUUACUUAUAAAAAAAGUUUGCUGUAAAACAGUGUGCUGUGUUAUGCUAGCAGCAGUCUCACACAUCUCAUGUUUACCUCAUCUCUUGAUUCAUCAUUUUCUCUUGUAGAUGGACCUAGAGGGUAUUAUGCUAAGCAAAAUAAGUCAGACAGAGAAAGACAUACUGCAUGAUUUCACAUAUAUGUGGAAUCUAAAAACAAAAUAAACAAAACGAAACAGAAACAGACUGAUACAGAGAACACACUGAUGGUUGCAAAGGGAACGGGAUGGUGGGAAUGGAUGAAAAAGGUGAAGGGGGUUAAGAGGUACACAAUUUCGGCUAUAAAAUAAGUCAUGGAGAUGUAAUGUACAGUGCAGGGAAUAUAGUCAAUAAUAUCAUAAUAACUUUGUGCAAGGAUAGAUGGUUACUAAACUUGUCAUGGUGAUCACUUCAUGAGGUAUAUAAAUGUCGAAUCAUUAUGUCGUACACCUGAAACUAAUAUAAUAUUGU